GAUGAAGAACGUAGCGAAAUGCGAUAAGUAAUGUGAAUUGCAGAAUUCAGUGAAUCAUCGAAUCUUUGAACGCACAUUGCGCCCUCUGGUAUUCCGGGGGGCAUGCCUGUUCGAGCGUCAUUAUAACCACUCAAGCUCUCGCUUGGUAUUGGAGUUCGCGAUCUCGCGGCUCCUAAAAUCAGUGGCGGUGCCUGUCGGCUCUACGCGUAGUAAUACUCCUCGCGAUUGAGUCCGGUAGGUUUACUUGCCAGUAACCCCCAAUUUUUACAGGUUGACCUCGGAUCAGGUAGGGAUACCCGCUGAACUUAAGCAUAUCAAUAAGCGGAGGA
This 329-nucleotide unclassified non-coding RNA is filed under the name soil metagenome. RNAcentral describes it as "partial contains 5.8S ribosomal RNA, internal transcribed spacer 2, and large subunit ribosomal RNA". The stretch from base 1 to 120 matches the Rfam family "5.8S ribosomal RNA", at positions 35 to 154 of the family's 154-position model. The record is from RNAcentral.